Non-coding RNA from Drosophila virilis, 413 nucleotides. NCBI's taxonomy places the organism in Eukaryota, Metazoa, Arthropoda, Insecta, Diptera, Drosophilidae. The record is from RefSeq and is a predicted model, not a curated record.
AGAGCGAGCGAGCGCUGCUGACGCCAGCAGCGCUGCCGACGCCAGUUUCGCCCAGCGUCUGGAACGCCAACGCACGCGACCCAUGUGUCGGCAAUUGAAAGGAUAUUUGUAUUUUCGCCAACCUCAAACAAACAACAAAAUCGAUAACAUUGUCCAGUGACGUCACAACGGCAUUUUGCGUGGGCAAUACACACACAAUGCAAAGAGAGCGUAGGCGGUUAUUUGCUAUUGGGUUCUUAUCAGAACGCUGCCGCUGUCGCUGUCGCUGCUGCUGCCGCUGCGGGUGUCGCCGGCCAACGACGUUUAAUCAUUAUCAGCAUGCUCUUCGGCAAUCUCUUCGCCAGUUCUUGGCAAGAAUAUAUGUAUAAAAUGAAUAAACACUUUUGCAUAUUCGUAUGCCAUUUUGGGUGCAA